CAGUCGAACGAGUUCUGAUUAUUGAAAGGUGCUUGCAUCUUGAUUUAAUUUUGAACGAGUGGCGGACGGGUGAGUAACACGUGGGUAACCUGCCCUUAAGUGGGGGAUAACAUUUGGAAACAGAUGCUAAUACCGCAUAAAUCCAAGAACCGCAUGGUUCUUGGCUGAAAGAUGGCGUAAGCUAUCGCUUUUGGAUGGACCCGCGGCGUAUUAGCUAGUUGGUGAGGUAACGGCUCACCAAGGCAAUGAUACGUAGCCGAACUGAGAGGUUGAUCGGCCACAUUGGGACUGAGACACGGCCCAAACUCCUACGGGAGGCAGCAGUAGGGAAUCUUCCACAAUGGACGCAAGUCUGAUGGAGCAACGCCGCGUGAGUGAAGAAGGCUUUCGGGUCGUAAAACUCUGUUGUUGGAGAAGAAUGGUCGGCAGAGUAACUGUUGUCGGCGUGACGGUAUCCAACCAGAAAGCCACGGCUAACUACGUGCCAGCAGCCGCGGUAAUACGUAGGUGGCAAGCGUUAUCCGGAUUUAUUGGGCGUAAAGCGAGCGCAGGCGGUUUUUUAAGUCUGAUGUGAAAGCCCUCGGCUUAACCGAGGAAGUGCAUCGGAAACUGGGAAACUUGAGUGCAGAAGAGGACAGUGGAACUCCAUGUGUAGCGGUGAAAUGCGUAGAUAUAUGGAAGAACACCAGUGGCGAAGGCGGCUGUCUGGUCUGUAACUGACGCUGAGGCUCGAAAGCAUGGGUAGCGAACAGGAUUAGAUACCCUGGUAGUCCAUGCCGUAAACGAUGAAUGCUAGGUGUUGGAGGGUUUCCGCCCUUCAGUGCCGCAGCUAACGCAUUAAGCAUUCCGCCUGGGGAGUACGACCGCAAGGUUGAAACUCAAAGGAAUUGACGGGGGCCCGCACAAGCGGUGGAGCAUGUGGUUUAAUUCGAAGCAACGCGAAGAACCUUACCAGGUCUUGACAUCUUUUGAUCACCUGAGAGAUCAGGUUUCCCCUUCGGGGGCAAAAUGA
RNAcentral lists this ribosomal RNA (1012 nucleotides) under Lacticaseibacillus rhamnosus. RNAcentral's name for it is "bacterial SSU rRNA". It matches the Rfam family "Bacterial small subunit ribosomal RNA", at positions 59 to 1034 of the family's 1533-position model. The record is from RNAcentral. Lineage: Bacteria; Bacillati; Bacillota; Bacilli; Lactobacillales; Lactobacillaceae.